AGCUAGCAUGGCGUAGUGGUUCAAGUGUUGGACUACAACUCUGGAGACCAAGGUUCAAUUCCAUGCUUGGCCA
Non-coding RNA from Phrynosoma platyrhinos (Desert horned lizard), 73 nucleotides. Lineage: Eukaryota; Metazoa; Chordata; Lepidosauria; Squamata; Phrynosomatidae. The record is from the annotation of a GenBank genome assembly.